CAGAAUUGGAGUCGGGUAGAAAAAAUACAACCAUCCCCUCUCUCUGCUGAGUCACUGUCAGAAUAGACCUUCUUGGGUUUGAAGGUGAGAGCUGAUGGGUGGGUUGGGUAAAAAGGACUUACUGGGGAUGAAAUGGAGUGUUAUGACCAUCAACCAUACUGCAUCCUCUUUGUCGACUAACAGGGUUGAGGAUAAUGAGUAAUCUGGACGGAGCAGCUUUCUUCCAAGGACCUCAGAACUCUCUGCAGAUGUGCUUCUCUCUGCAAAAUGGCUCUCACUCCAUUUCUGUGAGAACUCUUCCCGCAAACUGGGUCCCUAAGAGGAUUAGUGAAGGGGAUACCAAUUUAUUUAUACUCACCUCAGCAUGGUAGCAGCCAAACACUCCCUGACCUUCCACAAGGCGCAGAGCAGCCCACUUGUGGUGCCAUUUGCAAUAAGCAAGACAGAACUGUGUUACAACACGAUUGGGAUUCUUGCUGUGUGCAGAGAUGCCCAGAGUGGCCACACGGCCUAAGCAAGAGGUAGGCACGCUCUGCAAACAUCUCCCUGCGUGGCUUUUCC
RNAcentral lists this long non-coding RNA (561 nucleotides) under Gallus gallus (chicken). RNAcentral's name for it is "long non-coding RNA NONGGAT005274". Lineage: Eukaryota; Metazoa; Chordata; Aves; Galliformes; Phasianidae. The record is from RNAcentral.